This 1138-nucleotide unclassified non-coding RNA is filed under the name Hevea brasiliensis (rubber tree). The record is from RNAcentral. Lineage: Eukaryota; Viridiplantae; Streptophyta; Magnoliopsida; Malpighiales; Euphorbiaceae.
AGACCUAGGGGGUCUCUGUCCAGAGAAUCGGCCUCUUCCAAACCUUUCACCUAGACCUCUGCUAGGUCUACCAAAUUUCUUCCUCUUCCCAGAAGUACCACUAAGACUUGGCUUUACUGACUUUUCCCCCUUAUCUUUCUCUGAUUUCUCAGCUUUCUCUGAUUUUUCUUUUGUUGGGGUCACUUCUGAUUCAAUUCUUUCCAACUCAAAUGCCUGAGAGAUGAGCUCUGAGAAGUUACUGUGUCUGAAUCCCACUACUUGCAUCCUCAAACUGGGCUUCAAACCCAUCUCAAAUCUCUUGCACCUUUCCUUGCCAGUAGAAAGGAGACUCCCAGCAUAGUGGCUUAAGCGGGAGAACUCCCUCUCAUACUCUGCCACUGAUCUAUUCCCUUGUUUUAGACUCAAAAACUCUUGCAAUUUCUGAUCAACAUAUGCAUCUGGGAUGUAUUUCUGUCUGAACUCUCUGAUGAAGUCAUCCCAGGUCAGCACUGGUGGUUCAGCCAAGCUGUGGGGGAUGGUCUUCCACCAAUCAUACGCAUCCCCUUGCAGUAGCGACACAGAAUAUUCCAACUUCAGCUCAUCUUGGCAGUACAGUUUCUUAAACACUCUGUCCAUUCUUUCAAGCCAUUGCUCUGCCUCUAAAGGGUCCACUGUACCCUUAAAUUCUGCAGCCCCAUACUUCAAUAACUUGUCAUACUGUCUGGCUGGAGGCAAUGGUUGUGCCACAGGUGGUUGUGGUGGAGCUUGAGCAGGCAUACCCCCAGCCAUUUGUUGAAACAUUGCCGCUAUCUGCUGUGCGAACUGUGCAGGAAUUUGCGGCAUUUGUGGGGCUGGUGCUGCUGACCCACUAACAUUCGGUAAAGCUGGGGCUUCCCCUUGUGCCUCAGCUUCAACAGACUGCUCAACUGAGCGAUCCCCUUCUUCCAUUUCAGUCUGAAGUUAGGGUAUCUCCUGAACAAAUAACACAAGGAGAUUUCCCUCCGUUAGUUCAUAUUCAUGAUGUAAUGCACUGUAUGUAACAAUUAUGGACAUUGAGCAGUUGUACUUAACAAAGAAAAACACAAAUUCACAAUUUAAAACAUAAUUCAAAAACUUGCUCUGAUACCACUAAAACAUGUCACACCUUACCCCUCUGUAA